Strigops habroptila (Kakapo) is the source of this 9967-nucleotide RNA transcript. It is a transcript of the gene named proline rich 14 like, with no coding region annotated. The transcript is spliced from 9 exons. Lineage: Eukaryota; Metazoa; Chordata; Aves; Psittaciformes; Psittacidae. The record is from RefSeq and is a predicted model, not a curated record.
CCCUGAAGAUUAAAAACUUAACAAAAUCACAGGAAAACAAAUGAUGCUUUGGUUUUAGCUGAGGAGUAGGAUGUCUAAUAUGAGCUCUAGUGAUGCGCUUGAUAAUCUGUUUUCAGGUUUUCCAGAAGAUGAAGUUACAUGUGCAGGAAGAUGUUUGAAUAUGAAAACAAGGCUUGGGGAUGUCUCUCGGUUCACGCUCUCUUCCUCUGUUAAUGAGCAUUUGCUUAGAAACGCAAACAUUUCUCAGCUCCUUUCUUAAAACAUUAUUUGCAAGUAGCUUUCUUAAACAUACAUGCUGGAAUCUUCAGGAAUGAAGCUGUACCUCUUAACCUGGAGAUUACUCCUACUUAUGUUGACUUAACAUUGCUUUUAUUUUUAGGGUAAACUGUGAAAAGCUCAGGACAACCGAUCCUCAGCUGCCCUGAUGCUUUCAUCUGGGGUGGAAUCUCUCCUUGAUUCUUCGGGGUCUGCUGGAAUAGAGGAGGCAUACCCUGGGCUGCUCACGAGCAUCUCCACGGAACUUAUGGCUGUGUCGGAGCCUAAGGUUGGGUUAAGUGCAAAGCCUGGUGUGUCAGUGCCUGUGCUGGCACACAGCAGCGGUCUGUCAGUGGAGCAUCGCGCAACACCAGCAGUAGAGAACUUCGGCCAAGAUUUGGAUGAUGUGCUCCAGGUGAUUUCUCAUGGGCCAGCACAAUCCCUUGAUGAAGAAUUAGUGAAGUCUGGAGACCUUGAACAGGACGAAAAAGGCAAAAAAAAGAACUUCAGGAGACUAGACUUUUCUAGUGAGAGAUAUCAGAGAGGUGGCGAAGAGGCACAAGAUGCUGAGGAGUAUCCUGCUGAAUGCUGGACUCCAGCUCCUGGGCGAAGCUUGGCAAAACAAGAGGACCUUCACUUAAACCAGCAUGAAUUUAAGCCUUUGGGAACCUGUUGCACCGAAGUAGUGGGAUCUCUGAAGAACACAGAAGAAAACCAAGCACAUGUUCAGAUGACGGCUGAAACUCUGCCAAAGCUCACUGAAGAAGUACAAGGUAUGAAGGCUGAUGGGACUAGGAUAUUUAGUAAAGCAGGAUACAGGAAUGACCGAGUGAGUAAAGGUCUUCCACCUGAGAGCAGUGAAUGCCCAGAAGUCGUGGCCAGAGCUGGGGUUUCAGAAACCAGCUCGUUAGAUUUUUCAGAGCCUUUGAAAGUCACGGACAUUGAAUCAACCACAGAGAAUGCACAAGAAACAAAUGAGUACAGUGGGUUGAAAUCCCAUACUGCUAUGCCAUUGGGAACAGGGGGUAACGUUGCAUCUGGUUUGGAGACUAGAGAAGAAGAGUUACCCAGAGGAAAUCCUGAUAAUGAGUGCAGUAUAUCACUUGCUAAUUGCCAGACUUAUCAGCAGGGUGAAGAAAACAAUGCUCAUGACUUCUGCACUGGUCCUGUACCUAAACAUAACGAACCUCAUAGGUUGUCAUCAAUAGAAAGCUGUAGAACACUCUCCACAAAAAAUUCCAAAGUUUUAUGUUCGGUUCUGAAAAUCAUCUGUCCUCAGGACUUCAGAAAUACACCACCAGAAAACAAUAGUACUGCAGCCCAUGGAAUUAGCAAUGAACCCCCCCAAAACAUGGAAACUCAGACUCAUUAUGAUCAUGGAACUGGGUUUGGAGAAAAUCGACCCUCCACAUCUAAACCAACAGAGCAGCUUUCGGUGGUAAGGAGCAAAGGAUUAUCUAGUGCUAAAUCUGACACUAGGGAAGGAAGUGCUAGUGUAGGUAAAUCAUACAGCUCUGAAUUUGAAGAGGCUGCUGAAGGCUGGAGAAAAAUUGCUGUAGGAGAUGACGUUGAAAUUUGUAGCUGUCCUGAAGGUCAAGAGGGUGCUAAUUCUGAGCAUUGUCAUUCUUCAGUUUUUAGUUCUGUUGCUUCAUCUCCUGAGGAGUUCUCAAAAGAAAGAUUUAAAAUGGCCCCAUCAGAUGGUGGUAAGUUGAACAAGGACCAGUGGCAGCUCUUUGUCAGUGAUCUAUGCAAGGAUGAUGUGAAAGAAAAUAGUCUAUUGAUGGAAAGGAGCACCACUGCUUCCCAUGAAAUUGGACAGAUAGACAUAUGCUUUUAUAAUCCCUCCAGUAAAAUUUCUCCUCCCAGUAGCCACAGCUGUCUGGAUAUUAGUACCAAGCUAAAAAAAGGUUCAUCUGAGGCACAACCACUUGAAAAGGAAUGUGAGAGUAAUACAACAGCUGAAGAGUUGGCUGGCAGUUUAGUUGAAGCUACAGAAGCUAAUAGUAAUGACAGUUUCUCCACUGGCAAAGAAACUAAUUUGAUUUAUACACUAAAUGUAACUCUACCUCCUGUUCCACAAAAAUCAAGAGAACCUCAUCAUAAUGAGUAUCUUCCUUGUACUGCUAAUGAAGUUUCAAGCAGGGACAAGGCUCAGGAUAAUCUAUCUGGAAAAGAAUUAAUUGGUGCUUCUGGAACAACAGGGGAGCAAGUCACUAAAACUGCACUUGAUAAAGACAAAUUCAAGUCUUCACUAAGUUCCAGGACUUCUGAGGUCCCUAAUGUGACAAGCAAAACUUCCCAAAAGAACAUGAAGUCUUCAGUGGGAAAUACACAGAGCAUGGUCACUAGUUUAGAAAAUGAACAUAGUGACACAUGGAAUUGUAAUAAUCAGAGUAUGAAAGACCAGUGUACAGCUGCCAGUGCUUCCUGUCUUUUAUCAGGGAGUACACGUGGAGAUGAUGUUCUCCUGAACAGUCAUUCCCUUAAUGUUGAGGUCAAUAAGAAGAUUGAGGAAAAUGAUAAUUUGGAAGGAGAAGCUUCAGCUUCAAAGGCACUCAUCUUUCCAAAAGCACGCUUCCCUUUGGCAUGUGAGUCUCUUCCUUGUGAAGAUGUCUGGGGCAGCAGAGGUGUAGAUCUGUAUGGGAUAAAUGACAUUUCCACAGCAAAGCCCACAUUUUGCUCAGCUUACGCUGCAGAGAAGUCUGUUGCUACCUUGGUAAGAAACGAGGUUCCAAAUAAGAAUAUGGAGGUUUUGAAACGAUUUGAUCUUUGUAAAGUAACAGAUGGCAGUGAAAUUGUUUGUGGCAGAGAUGAGGCAAAAGAACAAACCGGCGUGUGUGCUCUCCAGACAGAUGAAUUUGAUAGAAUAAGAACUGUGGAUUCUUCAAAGGCUCCUAAAGGCAAUCAGAGAAAUAAAACUAGAGAACAGCUAUUAGUCAGAGAUUUGAACAAAAAAACCUGUGUUCAUAAUUUUGGAUUUUGCAACUCUCCAUUAGGCCCAAAGAAGAGAGAACCGGGUGCAUGUGAGGAGGAAGAAGUGUCAUCGCUCACAGCUAAUCCCUCCGAGUACAGCGCUUCACUCUGUGGGACGUGUCCGUUACUCAGCAACAGGAAUGUUCAAGCAGAGAAGACCCUUCAUCCAAUGGAAAAUCAGUGUCUUGCAUGUCAGAGUGAGUUUGACGGCCCGAUUCCAGGCAGCAAGCAACAUUUAGAAAGUUUAAAUAAACCACCGAACACUGGCUUACAAACUAUGGCUAGUUCUGUGGAAGAAACCAAAAUAUCGAUUGGCUCUAGUCAGAGUGAAGAGAUAAUGUUAAAAACAGGUGACGACCUGCCUCCAGUAACCCAUAAGUAUGCAAGAGAAGACAGUUUUCAAGGAACUCUGAAAGAGAGUGUGAUGGAUUUGGACUCUUUAAAUGGUGAGAGAAAUGAACGCCAUUCAGGAGACAUGGGCUUUGUCAGUGAUCUAACUGAAGAGAAGACAAUCGAACAAAAAGAACACAAGAACAGAUGUGAAAGAGAAGAUAAUGGAAGUCUUGAACAAAGCUUUCCUGAUAGCAAAUCACACUGUUCACAGCAUGCUUGCUUUAUCAAAUGUGCAAAAGAGAAAGCAGAGCCAGUGCUUGCAGGAAACAAAAUGCAGCAAUCUUUGCCAAAGGUGAAGUCAUCAGUGGAGGAUCAGGAAAACCCAGUUAGUGCCCAGUUUUUGCCCUUUUCAUCAAUUCCUGGGAGUCUGUCAUAUAAGCCAGAAAGUAUGAAUGUGCUUUCAGAGACAGAAAACAAGAGUCUGAGAAUAAAAUCUAUCUUAAGUAACUCUUGCCCACAGUUAACAUUUCAGCCUUGUAAAGAAACUGACACUCAAAAGGGUAUUGCUGCAUCCCAUUUCAGAAAGUUUGACACCCAAGAAUCUUAUGAGACUGAGGUGGAUUCAGAAACACCAUCAGCUCUGAAUGUGGGAAUCUCUUUGCCUAAGAAAGAAAAGCUGUGUCUGUUAUCUGGGAAUACACAAAUGGAUAACUGUGAUUCAUCUGCAGCUGAAGCUUUUAGCAAAGAUUCUUCAGUGACAAAGCCUCUUUCUGUAACAAUGUCUGAUAAGAGAAAAGCCAACAAUACUGAGGUCCCAUUGUCAGAUAAUGAAGCCGCAACCAGCUUUCUGAAUGGUGCAAAAUGCUCAAGAGUUUGUGCCUACAACAAAGAAAGUCUGAGAGGUGAGGGGCAUAGCAUGCUAAGUGUAAAAGACAUGGAUGUGAUCCAACCAAAAAGUACUCACUGUAGAGAGAAGUUUAAGAAUACGUGUAUAGAGGAGAAGAUGGGAAGAGAAGUAGCCCCUAAAAAGAACUUGCCCACAGAUUCUUUUCUUGAUGGAGAAGAUUGUCCAUGGGCCUUUUCAGAAGAUUCAAAAAAGCCUGCUAGCAAAAUAGUCCCUCUCAGUACUGAGAAUUAUGGAAAGGUUUUGGAAGAAAUCCCAAGAUCUAAUUUAAAUAAUCUUUCAAAAGAAAGAAAAAAUGAUACAAAGCUCACAAACUUAGCAGGUACCAGUGUCCUUUCAGAAACUGUGUGUGAUUGUCAAGCUGAAGCUGCGUCUGAUGCAGAAACUUCACCAGAAUUGCAGUGUAAUCCAACACCCCCAUUUUAUCCACCUAUGAUUAAUCUAUCAAACAGUUGCAAAGAAUUGCCCCCAGACUCUGUGGUUUGCAAUGAAGUAUGUGUGCCUUACAAAUUAAAUGCACAAAGCAAAGAUAAUGUAAAUUUGCUUAUAGAAGGCCAGGACGCUACACCAACUCAUUCAGUUUGCAAGGAAAAUGAGGUUUCAGGUUCAGAGAGACUUGAUCAAAUAGAGAAAUGUCAGGUACCUAAACAAAAGAAGAAGUGUAAGAAGAUGGAAGAACAUCUGUCAGACAAUGCACAACAAGAACAGAAGUCAGAAUAUCAAGAGAAAGCAAAAAUCACACUGCGACCAAGUAUGUUGCACAGUUCUGAACUGCUAUGCAGCUCUUCACAUGAGUUGGUGACAUCAAGAAAUACAAAGUUUGAAGGUACUUCAGAGGAGAUUUUUGCUGUUGGAAGCAGCGAAAAUAAACUAUAUAGCACUUUACAAGAAGUCAAAAGGCCAAAGAUUACCACAGAUGUUAUUAGUUCACAGUUUUUGAAGACUCAGGAUUCAGAAAUGCAAAACCUGAACCUUAAUUUAGGGUAUGAUGGAAUCCCUGGUGCCUUUGGAACUACAACUAAGCGAAGAGAACCUCUUCCAUUAAAGACACAGCCUGGAAGGACAUGCAAAAAAGUUCCCACAUCAUAUCAGCUAAAAGUCGUAAGAAAAUGCAAAAAAAAUAGAAGUUCACCUUUUUUUGAGAUUCCCCCAGAAAUAUUCCCUAAACAGGAAAACACACUUCUCAAGUCUUGGUACUUUCCAUGUAAACCACCGGCACCGGGAGCAGAAGCAGCCAUGAGGUGUGUGCAUAUGACAAGGCAGAGGGCCAAGAGGUGCAGUUUGUUGAACAGCUUGAGACUUAGAAAAUGUACCAAAGAACCAGCACUGUUGAGCAAGCUGUCUGCCAUGGCCAGCCAGCUCCUGGCUCCUGCCGAGAGCAGCCAUAAGGUAGAACCUCUGCCACGUUCUGCUGAACUUCUUCCAGUAGGUGAGAGGUACAGCCAACGCAGGUAUAAGAAUCUAUUGGAAGCCUUUUCUUGCAUUAACAGGAACUUACACUCACGCUGGGCUGACAGUUGGUGCACCAAGAUGUUUAGCUUUCAGCCUUUGGCACUUUAUCCUGUAGAAUCUACCAAAAUACUUUUUUCAGACUUGAGCCACAAGCCUCCAACCUCUUCCUUGGAUACCACAGUUUUCCCAAUUUCUUUUCACAUAAAAUUGGACUCCAGUCCUGUGACAGACCUCACAGGGAUGACAUCCCAGCACUCUCUACAUCAUGGACCAGUUUUGGGAGAAAUGCCAGCACCGCCUUCAAAGUGGACUUUCUCUUUUCUCCUGUCUCAGAGCUGUUCAGAUACAACAGCUUUCAAAGAAGAUUCCAGUCCAAAUAAUGAACUGCAUUCCUCUCUCUCCCUAACAACUCCAGGGGCUGUUGUCCUUCAUCGUGACCGGCGAAGAAGAGGCGGUUGCUCCAUGGCUGGCCUUCACACAGUGUUAGCAAUUUCUUCCCCUGGAUGCUACAGGAUUUGGACGAGAAGAAGAAACUUAACUAGUCAUAUUCCUACCAUCCAGAGACUAUUUAUAUCGCAGUUCACACAGGGUUUGAAAGGGGCAAGGUAUCCAUCUUCUGUAUCAGAUGACCUCGUCUCUUCAUUGCCAUACUCGCUGGGCAGGGUACUAUCCAUAUGGAGUCAGCACGGUCCUUCUGCCUGGCCUUCCGAAAUCACUCCUCUCCAUUCCAAUGACUGCAAGUGGCAGCCAAGUAUGGGCAUCGCAAACAGCUAUGCCAUCACACCGCACUUACCUAUACAGAGUAUGGAAGCACUACAGAUUGAAGGUCAUGAGAUGUGUCUGGAAACUUCAUUCCCUCUUACAUUACCAAAGCCUUGCUCACGUCUGGAAUCAUUACCAUCUCCCCCCAGGCUUCCAGCAUCUGAACUCCAGGUCCAUGCCCUUGAUGAAGGUGAUGUUUCUGUUCCAGCCUGUCUUAGAUCCCAGGAUGAGAAAGAACUGGAAAAAACUGAGCCAGAAAAGAGGCCAAAGAAAGUCUCACAAAUCCCAAUCAGGAAAACUGUUCCUAAGCCAGACCCUAAUCUUACUCCAAUGGGACUACCCAAACCAAAAAGGCUUAAGAAGAAAGAAUUUAGUUUAGAAGAAAUUUAUACAAACAAGAACUACAAGUCCCCUCCUCCAGCCAGGAGCUUGGAAACAAUCUUUGAAGAGCCCAAGGAGAAAAAUGGAUGCUUGAUCUCUGUCAGCCAGCAGAAGAGGAAGCGGAUUCUGGAGUUUCAGGACUUUACUCUUCCUCGGAAAAGGAAGAGACGAGGCAAAAUCAAAGCAGUGGGUAGUUUCACCCGGGCAAAAAAAGCUGCACUCCAGAGUGCAGAGUUAGAUGCUCUUCUGAGUCAGAAGCUAAUGGACCUUGAUGCCUUCUUUGCAAACGAGGCUGAGCAAGAGCAGGCCUCUGAGGGAGCCAUUUAGCUGAAAAUGGUCCAGUCAGCUCCUUUAGUAUUUUAGUCCUUUUGGGAGAAACCUACUGACUUCUUCAUAUGUUACUCUGCCACUCUGCUCUAAUAGCUGAUGAGCUGGUUUUGGCUGUGGCCCUCUUUAAGGUGCUAUUUUGUUUUUUCUUAAAUUAUUUUUUUUUUGUAAUGCUAUUGGAGGGAUUCUUUCAGGUCCCUGUUUGAGUGUAACACAGCCACAUCCAAUUUACCAUUCCUUCCCCAGCCCCUGGAAAUUACUGCUAAUGUUUAAUUACAUUUAAAUACCUUUUGGGGGUGGAGUAGGAGUGUAAAGGAGGAAGUAGUGCACCUUCAGUGAUGCUAGAACUCUGAACUUCAGAUCAUUUGCACAUUUGAGUCUGCUGUUGUUACUGUAAUGGCUAUUUUGAACAACCUGACAGAAGAGAUAUGAUAUUUGAUAAAGAUAAAUUCUAGCAAACACAUUCUUGAUAUACCACUAACUUUUUAAUAAUUAAAAGUAGCUGUCCAGGUUUGCUUUCAAUUGUUUAUUGCUUCCGUUUACUUAGAAGGUUCCUUCUGAGUUUCUGUGCCCUUCCUGGCUUCAGGCAGCAGAAGCCCCACAUAACUAGACUUUAAAUAACUUGCACUUUGUAUAUGUUUCUUUAUUUGCUGCAUGAGGACAAAUUUUAACAUGAGCUCAAAAAAAAGGUAAUAUUGUAAGAAAAAAAUGUGCCCAGUACUAAUUUUUCCCUAAUAGUAGAGUUGUUACCUACUUGGUUGAUGCCAACCUCUCCUCCAGAGGAAAAGGUAAUUAGCCCAUGAGGAUGUUAAGCUGCAGGAUACGUAAGUAAAGAUUUUUAUUAACUGAGCUGAGCUGCUGCAUGCAGGGAACACCAGCAAAAUCUGAGACUCAUUUUUUAAGUGAUUUUAAUUCCAUUAAAAAUACCAACUUCAUUUUAAUGCCACCAAGAAAAUGAAUUUUUUUUCUAUCUUAAGGGGUUUUUCUAUCAUUUUAGAUUUACAAUUCAUGUAACUCAUAAUUAAAUACGUACAACAGCACAGUUGUACAUAAUAGCUAUUGUUGUACAAAGAGCCUCCUGGCAUGUGGAAUUUUCUCUGUUUCAUUAUGUAAGGCCAUUUCUAAUUAUCUGAUGCAGCACUGGGCGGUUUCUCAGCUACACCAUUUGAGGGAAGGGAGCUCACCUCUGGGAUAACUUCUGUUAAAUGUACUUGAAGCAUAAUUCAAAAUGAAUGCUAGCUGCAGUUCAGGUAAUUUCUGUCCUUUAGUGCCUAUAGAAGUUAUUCAGGCAAAGCUGUCGUUGCUGGGAUGCUCAAAUUUAAUUAGUCUGUUCUUUCUCUUAGUUGUCACUUGAAACUUGCACUUUCUUAUUUCCCUACCCAUAGAACAGAGUUUCUAUUUACCUUCAAAAUAAGCAACUAUCUAGUGGGUGGGUAUUUUUAGUGAAGUCCAAAUAAAUGCAGGACUGAAAAUACCAUCAUUAUCUUCUGUUGCUCUGCCACGUCUGUUAUUGACUGAACAGAAAACUAAAAACUAACAAGUUAUGUGUUGAAUUCCAGAGCUUUGGAAGUGGAGAAAUGGAAGAGGAUUAUUACACUAUGUGUGCCCGAGUCUCGAAAGAAAUGUAACCGGGGCUUGUUUUCCUCCCAGCUUAUGUGCUGGGAUUCCUAGAAGUUUACGUUCUUGUUUUGGAGGCCAGUUGUCUUUAAUCAGGAAGACCGUAGAGAAGAGAGGAGCACACACUUCAAGGAGUGGUGUUUGAGUUUUGAGGCAUUUGUGGAACAGCCUUGUUCCUUGUAGCUGCUGCUUGUACACUGGGAGUGAUGGCUGUGCAAAAGCCAGGUAUUUGCCACUCUGAGCUGCUUCUGUCCCAGACAAUUGAAAGAAACAAGUAUAGAGGAUGCAUCUUCUGGGGUCCUGCACACAUCCCUAGCUGGAGGAUACGUACACUUGCCUUUUCCUAAAGUGAACCUACUCCAGUGAGGAUUGCUUUUUUUUGUGUUAUCAUGGAAAGACACCGUAUGUGUUGCUCACAGAACGAUGACUAAAGCAGCUUGAUAACUGCAAAGCUUUUGCCAUGUCCUGUCUCUUAGUAGGUUUUGCAGAGCCAGGCAGCUCUUUGCUAAAUGUGCCGGUUAUGGGAGGUAGAAAGAUCACUUUUCACAAAAAAUAAAUCAUCUUAUUUUCAUCAUGCUACAACUGGAGCAGCUGAGGCUACUUAGUGUAUGUUGUAUCAUUUGCCUGGCUAGCCUUGUGGCUGCAUAUGUUUGAGUUCUGAUGAUGCUUGCUGGGUAUGAUUUUCUGCAAGCAGUUCUCAUUUAUAGUAUUCGAUUUGAGAUGGGCCUUUGGUAUAUUAUGUUCCAGGUGCUUUUCUAGAAUAUGGAUGGUAACUGUGGAUUAAAAGUCUGUAUGAUGCUAUCAAGUUAACAAAUAGCUCAAUGAGAAUUUGUACACCUGUGCCAUUAGCCUCCAUCGUGCUCUUGGCAUUUUGUUUCUGUUCAAUAUUGUGUGAAUCUAAAAUUUUACUGUUUCUUUUGUGUGUGUUUUUAAUUUAUGGAAUAAAUUUUUCUGAGAACCUUU